RNAcentral lists this ribosomal RNA (495 nucleotides) under uncultured bacterium. RNAcentral describes it as "partial 16S ribosomal RNA". It matches the Rfam family "Bacterial small subunit ribosomal RNA", at positions 28 to 507 of the family's 1533-position model. The record is from RNAcentral.
GACGAACGCUGGCGGCGUGCCUAAUACAUGCAAGUAGAACGCUGAAGGAGGAGCUUGCUUCUCUGGAUGAGUUGCGAACGGGUGAGUAACGCGUAGGUAACCUGCCUGGUAGCGGGGGAUAACUCUUGGAAACGAUAGCUAAUACCGCAUAAGAGUAGAUGUUGCAUGACAUUUGCUUAAAAGAUGCAAUUGCAUCACUACCAGAUGGACCUGCGUUGUAUUAGCUAGUUGGUGGGGUAACGGCUCACCAAGGCGACGAUACAUAGCCGACCUGAGAGGGUGAUCGGCCACACUGGGACUGAGACACGGCCCAGGCCCCUUCGGGAGGGAGCAGUAGGGAAUCUUCGGCAAUGGACGGAAGUCUGACCGAGCAACGCCGCGUGAGUGAAGAAGGUUUUCGGAUCGUAAAGCUCUGUUGUAAGGGAAGAACGAGUGUUAGAGUGGAAAGUUCACACUGUGACGGUAUCUUACCAGAAAGGGACGGCUAACUACGUG